Molecule: non-coding RNA, 250 nt
Organism: Cinara cedri
Lineage: Eukaryota; Metazoa; Arthropoda; Insecta; Hemiptera; Aphididae
Source: the annotation of a GenBank genome assembly
UAAAAAUUAAUAUUUGUUUUCGACGGAAGUAUAGUGAGAAGGUACUACGAGUAUAUUGUGUUAUUUUAUUCCACAGACAUUGUAAAGUAAAUAUGUGUACAUAGAUAAACGGAAACGUAACUGUCACAUAAAUGAUGAUACCGAAAAUAUAAGUUUUUACUUUUUUUAUACAACGUUUUUUCCUAAGAGGGGAAGAAAGGAAACCCAUUACACUUACGUUGUCUACAAACAACGGUAUGUUUUAAAACUA